AGGACGAACGCUGGCGGCGUGCCUAAUACAUGCAAGUAGAACGCUGAAGAGAGGAGCUUGCUCUUCUUGGAUGAGUUGCGAACGGGUGAGUAACGCGUAGGUAACCUGCCUUGUAGCGGGGGAUAACUAUUGGAGACGAUAGCUAAUACCGCAUAACAAUGGAUGACACAUGUCAUUUAUUUGAAAGGGGCAAUUGCUCCACUACAAGAUGGACCUGCGUUGUAUUAGCUAGUAGGUGAGGUAAUGGCUCACCUAGGCGACGAUACAUAGCCGACCUGAGAGGGUGAUCGGCCACACUGGGACUGAGACACGGCCCAGACUCCUACGGGAGGCAGCAGUAGGGAAUCUUCGGCAAUGGACGGAAGUCUGACC
RNAcentral lists this ribosomal RNA (372 nucleotides) under uncultured bacterium. RNAcentral describes it as "bacterial SSU rRNA". It matches the Rfam family "Bacterial small subunit ribosomal RNA", at positions 26 to 388 of the family's 1533-position model. The record is from RNAcentral.